RNAcentral lists this long non-coding RNA (213 nucleotides) under Lathyrus oleraceus (garden pea). Its description in RNAcentral is "Pisum sativum (pea) long non-coding RNA (PSAT_LNC001812)". The record is from RNAcentral. Lineage: Eukaryota; Viridiplantae; Streptophyta; Magnoliopsida; Fabales; Fabaceae.
UCCUCAUGAUCUCUAGAAUUUUAUGACUAUUUUUCCAGAAAUUUUGCACGCAUGGAUUUUAAUUUUGCUUAGGGAAUGUGUAUACAUGUGCUAUCUUGACAUGCCUUGCCAUUUUGAUUGUGAAAUGAUGAGUUUUGAUCCAAUGAUUGUGAAAUUUUGCAUGCUUAAACUAGACAUCCUAAUGGUCAUUUUGGUAUAAAGUUUGCAUUUUUC